CAAGUCGAACGCGAAAGGGGACUUCGGUCCGUGAGUAAAGUAGGCGCACGGGUGAGUAACGCGUAGAUAACCUGUCUUCAUGUCUGGAAUAAUACGCCGAAAGGGGUACUAAUACCGGAUAUUCUUGCUUUUCAUAAGUUAUGCAAGCAAAGGUGGCCUCUGCAUAUGCUACUGCAUGAAGAGGGGUCUGCGUACCAUUAGCUAGUAGGUGGGGUAAUGGCCUACCUAGGCGACGAUGGUUAGCGGGUCUGAGAGGAUGAUCCGCCACACUGGCACUGGAACACGGGCCAGACUCCUACGGGAGGCAGCAGUGAGGAAUAUUGCGCAAUGGGGGAAACCCUGACGCAGCGACGCCGCGUGAAGUGGGGAAGGCCUUCGGGUCGUAAAGCUCUGUCAAGAGGAAAGAAGUGUACAAUGGCUAAUACCUGUUGUAUUUGACGGUACCUCUAAAGGAAGCACCGGCUAACUCCGUGCCAGCCGCCGC
This 484-nucleotide ribosomal RNA is filed under the name uncultured bacterium. RNAcentral's name for it is "bacterial SSU rRNA". It matches the Rfam family "Bacterial small subunit ribosomal RNA", at positions 58 to 518 of the family's 1533-position model. The record is from RNAcentral.